Molecule: ribosomal RNA, 253 nt
Filed under: uncultured bacterium
Lineage: Bacteria
Description: partial 16S ribosomal RNA
Rfam family: Bacterial small subunit ribosomal RNA
Source: RNAcentral
UACGUAGGGGGCAAGCGUUGUCCGGAAUCAUUGGGCGUAAAGAGCGCGUAGGCGGCCCAGUAAGUCCGCUCUGAAAGUCAGGGGCUCAACCCCUGAAUGCGGGUGGAUACUGCUGGGCUAGAGUCCGGAAGAGGCGAGUGGAAUUCCUGGUGUAGCGGUGAAAUGCGCAGAUAUCAGGAGGAACACCGAUGGCGAAGGCAGCUCGCUGGGACGGUACUGACGCUGAGGAGCGAAAGCCAGGGGAGCAAACGGG